CUCAAGAUGGCUGUGCCUGUCAGCUGCAUGGAGCUUCGUUCAAGUAUUUUCUGAGCCUGAUGGAUUUACAGUGAUCUUCAGUGGUCUGGGGAAUAACGCUGGUGGAACCAUGCACUGGAAUGACACACGCCCGGCACAUUUCAGGAUACUAAAAGUGGUUUUAAGGGAGGCUGUGGCUGAAUGCCUCAUGGAUUCUUACAGCUUGGAUGUCCAUGGGGGACGAAGGACUGCAGCUGGCUGAGAGGGUUGAGAUCUCUGUUUACUUAGAUCUCUGCCAACUUCCUUUGGGUCUCCCUAUGGAAUGUAAGACCCCGACUCUUCCUGGUGAAGCAUCUGAUGCACGUUCCAUCCGGCGCUCAGCUGGGCUUGAGAAUCCUGUUACACCUGGGAUUUAGGCACUUUCAAUCUGAAAAAAUACAUAUCCUUUCAGCACUCUGGACGGACUUGAGAACUGUCCUUACGUGACCUAAAGCUGGAGUAUUUUGAGAUUGGAGAAUUAAGAAGGACAGAAUAACGGGCUCCCAGAUUCACAAGCCCCACCAAGAGGAUCACCCCAGGAACGCUUGGAGGCUGAGGAGUUCACUGAGGCUACUGCAUCUUGAGACUCAGGAUGAAGACCCAGCUUGGGGCUGUCAAAGGUUUUUUGCAUGUCUGACACCCAUGACUCCACCUGGACCUUAUGGCUCCACCCAGAAGCAAUUCAGCCCAACAGGAGGACAGCUUCAACCCAUUACGAUUUCAUCUCUGCCCCAACCACUCAGCAGCAAGCACCUGUUACCUGUCCACCCCCACCCCUUCCCCCAAACUGCCUUUGAAAAAUCCCUAACCUAUGAGCUUUGAAUAAGAUGAGUACGAACUUCAUCGCCCACGUGGCGUGGCCGGCCUCGUGUCUAUUAAAUUCUUUUUCUACUA
This 912-nucleotide long non-coding RNA is filed under the name Homo sapiens (human). RNAcentral describes it as "PVT1 splice variant 2". The stretch from base 372 to 501 matches the Rfam family "Pvt1 oncogene conserved region 5". Lineage: Eukaryota; Metazoa; Chordata; Mammalia; Primates; Hominidae. The record is from RNAcentral.